This 550-nucleotide ribosomal RNA is filed under the name uncultured bacterium. RNAcentral's name for it is "bacterial SSU rRNA". It matches the Rfam family "Bacterial small subunit ribosomal RNA", at positions 773 to 1319 of the family's 1533-position model. The record is from RNAcentral.
AGUGAAUAGAUACCCCGGUAGUCCUGGCGGUAAACGAUGGGCACUAGGUGUCAGGGGCUUCGACCCCCUUGGCGCCGCCGCUAAACGCAUUAAAGUGCCCCGCCUGGGGAGUACGGCCGCAAGGUUGAAACUCAAAGGAAUUGACGGGGGGCCCGGCACAAGCAGUGGAGCAUGUGGUUUAAUUGGAUGCUACGCCAAGAACCUUACCAAGACUUGACUUCCCGGUGCAAUCCCUUAGAAAUAGGGGACCCCUUCGGGCGCCGGUGACAGGUGGUGCAUGGUUGUCGUCAGCUCGUGCCGUGAGGUGUUGGAUUAAGUUCCGCAACGAGCGCAACCCUCGUGGUUAGUUUGCCAUCAUUCAGUUGGGCACUCUAGCCAGACUGCCGGCGUCAAGCCGGAGGAAGGUGGGGAUGACGUCAAAUCAUCAUGCCCCUUACGUCUUGGGCUACACACGUGCUACAAUGGGCGGUACAAUAGGUUGCCACACCGCGAGGUGGAGCGAAUCCCUAAAGCCGUCCUCAGUUCGGAUUGCAGGCUGCAACUCGCCUGC